Molecule: non-coding RNA, 113 nt
Filed under: bovine gut metagenome
Also listed under: 1 other name
Description: FMN riboswitch (RFN element)
Rfam family: FMN riboswitch aptamer (RFN element)
About the family: The RFN element is a highly conserved domain that is found frequently in the 5'-untranslated regions of prokaryotic mRNAs that encode for flavin mononucleotide (FMN) biosynthesis and transport proteins. This element is a metabolite-dependent riboswitch that directly binds FMN in the absence of proteins.
Source: RNAcentral
AUCUUCAGGGCGGAGUGAAAUUCUCCACUGGCGGUAUAGUCCGCGAUCUGCCUACGGCAGCCGAACCGGUUCGAUUCCGGUACCAACAGUUACAGUCUGGAUGGAAGAAGAUA